Long non-coding RNA from Polistes dominula (European paper wasp), 537 nucleotides. NCBI's taxonomy places the organism in Eukaryota, Metazoa, Arthropoda, Insecta, Hymenoptera, Vespidae. The record is from RefSeq and is a predicted model, not a curated record.
UCUAGAACGUAUUGAUCGCGUCUAAAGCAGCUGGAGUCAGCUCAGACAGUAACGUCGGGGCGACCGCAGGGAAAACACACGUGUCGCGGUGUGCGGAAUUUCAGUCGAGUUUUCGAACGUGUUACUUUCGUGAAAAAGAAAAAUUAUUUAUUUUAUAUUUAACGAUAAAUAAGGUGGAAGUAUGUGGGGGAGAGAUAGAAGAAGAAAAUAUUAUUUAUAAAUUAAAUAUAUGUAUAUAUAUUUUUUGUUUGUUUGACCGUACGAAGAAAGUGUCGGUGGUAAUAGAAAAUAAAACUGCGAUCGUACAUGUUUCGUUAGGGAUGAAAGACAAAGAAGGGAAGUUACAAGGCUUACAAAUACGAUGCUAUUGAAACGUUUCGUUUCGUUCGAGAGUAUUGUUAUGACAAGGACAACAAUAAUAACACAAACGAUUACAACACGAUUACGUCGAAAGUGUACAAGAAACGGAAACAAUGAAAAUCUUAGUAAUAUUAAAAAAGAAUCUUUAUUAAAAAUAAAUAAAUAAAUAAAUUUGGA